This 253-nucleotide ribosomal RNA is filed under the name uncultured bacterium. RNAcentral describes it as "partial 16S ribosomal RNA". It matches the Rfam family "Bacterial small subunit ribosomal RNA", at positions 524 to 776 of the family's 1533-position model. The record is from RNAcentral.
UACGGAGGGUGCAAGCGUUAUCCGGAUUUACUGGGUUUAAAGGGUGCGUAGGCGGGCCCUUAAGUCAGUGGUGAAAGCUCCGAGCUUAACUCGGAAACUGCCAUUGAUACUAUAGGUCUUGAAUUCGGUCGAGGUUGGCGGAAUGUGUCGUGUAGCGGUGAAAUGCUUAGAUAUGACACAGAACACCGAUUGUGAAGGCAGCUAGCUAGACCGACAUUGACGCUGAGGCACGAAAGCGUGGGGAUCAAACAGG